This 348-nucleotide ribosomal RNA is filed under the name Triticum aestivum (bread wheat). RNAcentral describes it as "partial small subunit ribosomal RNA". The record is from RNAcentral. Lineage: Eukaryota; Viridiplantae; Streptophyta; Magnoliopsida; Poales; Poaceae.
AUGAAACCUACUGGUCAACUAGGGGCGACGCCCUUACACACUGUCUCAGAGCUGAUAGAUGACUAUACUGGGAACUGGAAUGUCAGUUUGGUACGCCAAAACUUUCUUCACCCAGACGCGGAGGCGAUCCUUAAUAUCCCCUUGAACAGAUCAGGCGGGGAAGAUAGUUUGGCGUGGUCUCUGGAAAAGUCGGGUAACUAUACUGUAAAAUCAGCGUAUCGCUCUCUCAUGACUCGAAACGAGCUUAGUUCUCUAGAGGAAGGGACGAGGACGAACACUUCAUCAGCAAAUAAACAGUUAUGGACCGCACUUUGGAAAUUGCGGGUGGUGCCGAAGGUUAAGGUUUUC